AGUCGAGGGGCAGCAUGGUCUUAGCUUGCUAAGGCCGAUGGCGACCGGCGCACGGGUGAGUAACACGUAUCCAACCUGCCGUCUACUCUUGGACAGCCUUCUGAAAGGAAGAUUAAUACAAGAUGGCAUCAUGAGUCCGCAUGUUCACAUGAUUAAAGGUAUUCCGGUAGACGAUGGGGAUGCGUUCCAUUAGAUAGUAGGCGGGGUAACGGCCCACCUAGUCUUCGAUGGAUAGGGGUUCUGAGAGGAAGGUCCCCCACAUUGGAACUGAGACACGGUCCAAACUCCUACGGGAGGCAGCAGUGAGGAAUAUUGGUCAAUGGGCGAGAGCCUGAACCAGCCAAGUAGCGUGAAGGAUGACUGCCCUAUGGGUUGUAAACUUCUUUUAUAAAGGAAUAAAGUCGGGUAUGGAUACCCGUUUGCAUGUACUUUAUGAAUAAGGAUCGGCUAACUCCGUGCCAGCAGCCGCGGUAAUACGGAGGAUCCGAGCGUUAUCCGGAUUUAUUGGGUUUAAAGGGAGCGUAGAUGGAUGUUUAAGUCAGUUGUGAAAGUUUGCGGCUCAACCGUAAAAUUGCAGUUGAUACUGGAUAUCUUGAGUGCAGUUGAGGCAGGCGGAAUUCGUGGUGUAGCGGUGAAAUGCUUAGAUAUCACGAAGAACUCCGAUUGCGAAGGCAGCCUGCUAAGCUGCAACUGACAUUGAGGCUCGAAAGUGUGGGUAUCAAACA
RNAcentral lists this ribosomal RNA (725 nucleotides) under uncultured bacterium. RNAcentral's name for it is "bacterial SSU rRNA". It matches the Rfam family "Bacterial small subunit ribosomal RNA", at positions 60 to 774 of the family's 1533-position model. The record is from RNAcentral.